Molecule: RNA transcript, 1326 nt
Organism: Hipposideros armiger (great roundleaf bat)
Lineage: Eukaryota; Metazoa; Chordata; Mammalia; Chiroptera; Hipposideridae
Gene name: keratin, type I cytoskeletal 18 pseudogene
Exons: 2
Source: RefSeq, a predicted model, not a curated record
AUGGAUAUUUCCACCAUUUCUCAGAGGCGCCUGAGGCUUGCCCUCUCACUUUCCUCCUGGAACAACCUGAGCUUCAGCACCUGCUCCAGCUUCUCCACAAACUACCAGAACCUGGGCUCUGUGUAGUCGCCCAGCCACCGGGUUCUCCCAGCCAGAGUUUAUGCAGACACAGGGGGCUCAGCCUUCUGGAUUUCUGUGUCCCACUCCACCAGUGUCUGGGGUGGCUUGGAGUCUGGGGGUCUGGCAGGCCUAGGGGGCAUCCAGACCAAGAAGGAGACUAUGAUGCAAUGCCUGAAUGAUCACCUGGCCUUCUACCUGGGGAGGGUGAGAAGCCUAGAGGCUGAUAAUUGGAGACUGGAGAGCUAAAUCCGGGAACACGUGGAGAAGAAGGAACCCCUUCCCGUCAGAGAAUGGGGGCAUUACUUGAAGACCAUCGAGGACCCAAGGGCUCAGAUCUUUGCAAGUUCUGUGGACAAUGCCCACAUCAUUCUGUAAAUUGACAAUGCUCUUCUUGCUGCUGAUGACUUCAGAGUCAAGUAUGAGACAGACCUGGCCAUGCGUCAGUCUGUGGAGAAUGACAUCAAUGGGCUCCGAAAAGUCAUUGAUGACACCAAUAUCAUUCGGCUGCCGUGGGAGAUGGAGAGCGAGGCUGUCAUGGAGGAGCUGCUCUUCAUGAAGAAGAUCCAUGAGAAGGAAGUAAAUGGUCUACAAAACCAUAUUGCCAACUCUGGGUUGACCAAGGAGCUGGAUGCUCCCAAAUCUCAGGACCUCAGCAAGAUCAUGGCCGGCAUCCACGCCCUGUAUGAAGAGCUGGCUUGGAAGAACCGAGAGGAGCUAGACAAGUACUGGUCCCAGUGGACUGAGGAGAGCACCACAGUGGUCACCUCACAGACUGCUGAGGUAGAAGCUGCUGAGAUGACACUCAUAGAGCUGAGACGUACAUACCAGUUCUUGGAGAUCAACCUGGACUCGAUGAGAAAUCUGAAUGCCAGCUUGGAGAACAGCCUAAGGUAGGUAGAGACACGCUAUGCCUUGCAGAUGGAACAUCUCAACAGGAUCCUGCUACACCUGGAGUCAGAGUUGGCCCAGACUUGAAAAGAGGGGCAGUGCCACACUCAGGAUUGUGAGGCUCUGCUGAACAUCAAGGUCAAGCUACAGGCUGACAUCACCACCUACUGCCUCCUGCUGGGAGAAAGGGAAGGCUUUGAUCUUGGUGACACCCUGGACAGCAGCUCCAUGCAAUCUGUCCAAAAGACCACCACCCGCAGGAUUAUGGAUGACAAAGUGGUGUCUGAGGUCAAUGGCACCAAAGUAGUGAGGCGUUAA